UAUUUUUUAUUUUAAUGAAAACAUAUGAAAUAGCAGAAAAUCACAUAUAUUUUAUCCUAAGCAUACAGCAGAUUCAGCAGACUUCACAGUUCAUUGGACACCUUUAAGGACCUUGGGGCAAUUGUCUAAGUAGUCACCAAGCAGAUACACUGCUUUGAUAUUGUAACUGAAACCUCAUCUUUGAGCAGGAUAAAUUUCUUCAAAAUAUAUUAUGGCAAACACCAGUCCCUCUACAAACAUGGUGCUGUAGCCAAGGCAGCCAAGACCAGCUCCUCACUGAAAACACACUACAAAUAAAUGUAGGCAGAGAAAAUGAGACCCUCAGGUAUUCGUCCUAGAAAACACGCACAUCAGAUCCGGUAUAUCGGGACCUCGCUGGCCUCACCAACUGUCUUGGGUAGCUCCAUGGCUCAGACUACAUCAUACUCUGAGGAAAAAUCCCCCAGCAAGGUGGAAAUGCUUUUCAAGGAAGAAGCAAGGGGAAGGUGAAGAUGACUGUCUGAUUGGGAGCUACAUAUGUGACUGAGAGGAGGCAGAACCACCUGAAUCUCUCAACUGUCCCUUUAGUUGUUGCUUUAUUGAAAAACAGAAGAGGAUAAUAUACAGAAAAUUUUGCAGGGCAGUACAAGGGCUACUCAUACAUCCCACAUGACUGUUCCUGGGAGUUUUUGCAUAGUGAACUGUGACAGAGUAAACUGGGAAGAAAUUUCUACAGGUUAUUUCAGUUAGCCACUAACACUUCCAGAAUUGCCUAGACUGAGAGAGACUGGAGGGAAAGGCUGGGGGAUGAACCUGGAGUACUUCAAGAUCCAGCUUUUUCUAAGAGGAAGGAAAGCAAUUAAAAAACAACAACAACAACAAAAAAAGACUGCAUAUUAAUCAUAUUAAUGAAUGUCCAAGAAGAAAUUUGCUUUAAGUGGUGUAUGAACACCUUGUUAAACUAAGACCCCCAGAAGAGUAGAAUAAACUAAAAGAGUGCAAGCUAUGUACUGACUGCCCUCUUUUAACAGAUUUGAAAAUGUUUUCUGGAUACUCCUAGUAUUAGACAAUAUAUUAGACUAAUUUAUGCCAUGUAAAUAACCUGGGAAGCAUGGAAAUAUUAUACUUCGAUCUAAAAGUAAAAAAAAAUGUUUAACUGAGAGAGUAUCUUUCUUAUCUAUCUGAAAACACAGCGUAGCAUUGUUACAAAUCAGCAAGGGAGUAGCAAAUUAUUUACUUUAUCAUUUGUGGCAGUUUGGGAUAAAUAUAUUUACAAUGUGUCAUCCAUAGCUCCUUAUCAAGUUUCAGGCCACAACAAUUUGUUAUUACAGUGUACCCUCUAUAUGAUAACUUCUUGAAAAGUUUG
Long non-coding RNA from Zonotrichia albicollis (white-throated sparrow), 1345 nucleotides. RefSeq lists it as uncharacterized. Lineage: Eukaryota; Metazoa; Chordata; Aves; Passeriformes; Passerellidae. The record is from RefSeq and is a predicted model, not a curated record.